GUGUAUGGCAGCAGCAGCUCAUGCUUGGUACACUCCACCACCCCCAGCCGGGCUUUGCUCUCAUCCUCAAAUGCCCUGAGGAGGAGAAGGAGAAAGAAUCAGACAGACAACAGUACCAGGAAUCUUGUGUUGGAUUCUUUAUCAACCACCAGAUCCUGCAGCCCCUGAAAACAUGUAACAUGCUGGAUGGGCCGCUCCACAUGAGUGUAGGUGUGUAAGUGGGUAACAACCUGUAAUGGACUAACAACUUGUCAAAAGUGUAUUCCCAUUUUCAUAGAGGGUUCAUAGUAAUGUUCAUAGUAGUGGUUAACUAAAAAAAAGCAAUUUGAUUGUUAUGUAUUAUGUAUCCCACUGGUUGAUGUUGACCUUGAAUGUAACAAUAAUUCAUAUCAAAUUUGUGUUCAAAGUUUUAAUCUGGGUGUGGGACAGUUUGGGUGUGGGUUCUUUAUCAGUACUUCCAAAUGCAAAUGAUAAACAAAACUGUGUAAAAACAUAAUAAAUUUGACAUUAUUCA
Molecule: long non-coding RNA, 514 nt
Organism: Trichomycterus rosablanca
Lineage: Eukaryota; Metazoa; Chordata; Actinopteri; Siluriformes; Trichomycteridae
Exons: 2
Source: RefSeq, a predicted model, not a curated record